AUUCAAUGAUGAAAUAUCUCAUUCCAGUUCUGCUACUGAUCAUGUUGACGAUACCCAUUUUACCAAACUUCUCUGAGAA
RNAcentral lists this small nucleolar RNA (79 nucleotides) under Diaphorina citri (Asian citrus psyllid). Lineage: Eukaryota; Metazoa; Arthropoda; Insecta; Hemiptera; Psyllidae. The record is from RNAcentral.